RNA transcript from Dendrobium catenatum, 2084 nucleotides. It is a transcript of the gene named UPF0496 protein 1, with no coding region annotated. The record is from RefSeq and is a predicted model, not a curated record. NCBI's taxonomy places the organism in Eukaryota, Viridiplantae, Streptophyta, Magnoliopsida, Asparagales, Orchidaceae. The transcript is spliced from 3 exons.
CGCCGGACUAAUAAGAGAGCUUAACGAAAGCUUCCUCUCUCCUUUCCCAUUGACCUCGUUUAAGUCCCAUUCUAGGUUUUUCCAGACCUUUCCCUCCGGUCUUCCUCCGCUUUGACUCGAUCUGAGCCUCCUAGUCGGUGAAGAAGCGAGGGAGGGGAGGAAGAGAAGGAAGCAGUGGCUUACGCUUUGAUUGCUCUCCAUUCCUUACCUCCCCUCUCUCCUUGUCCUUGUUAUUGUCUUCUUCUACUCGUACAUUUUUAAGGACGCGCAGAGAUACUCAAAUCACUUUACAGUUUGCCCUGUUUUUCGUCAAUGGGCAUCUCGUUCAGCAAGAGGCGUGCCAGCGGCGGCGGUACCAGUGGAUCUGUCUCCGGCGGUAGCGACCAGUAUCUGGCGGAGCUGAGCUCGUACGAGGCAGCUUGCAGGGUGGAUCCGGAGAUUGAGAACUUUGAUGCCGGUCUCCAGCAGCGUACUAGCCGGGUUAUCUCCAAUCUCGCCGUUAACGUCCAGCUCCGCUCUCUUUCAUUUGAUACCCUUACAGAAGUUGCUGGAUCCCUCUUCGACAUGAACCAAGACGUCGUCCGCAUCAUCCUCGACUGCCAAAAGGAUAUCUGGAAGAACUCGGAGAUCUUCCCGCUCGUUGAGGACUACUUCGAGAACAGUCUCCGUACUCUUGAUUUCUUCACUACUCUUGAGAAUUGUCUCAAGAAAGCUCGCCACUCUCAGCUUAUUGUUCAGCUCGCCCUUAAAAGCUUCGACGAAGAACACGCUGCCGCUGCCGCGGCCGCAGCCGAUGAGGAGGUCCAAUCUCUAGAAGAGAACAGAAAGACGAGAUACACGAAAACCCUAGAGGAGUUGAGGCAUUUUAAGGCUACUGGGGAUCCGUUCACUGAUGAGUUUUACCAGGCAUUUCAAUCAGUCUACCAACAGCAAUUGUCAAUGCUCGAGAAGUUGCAUCGUAGAAAGAACGAGCUUGACAAGAAGCUCAAAUCUGUCAAAGCAUGGAGAAAGGUUACGUGCGUAAUCUUUGCCUCGGCUUUUGCGGCACUUCUGAUCUGCUCGGUGGUGGCUGCUGUGGUGGCUGCGCCGCCUAUAGCAGCGGCGUUGGCUGCUGCCUCUUCGAUUCCGUUGGGAUCUAUGGGGAAGUGGUUUGAUUCCAUGUGGAAGGGCUACCAGGACGCACUUAAGGCUGAGAAGGGGCUAAUUAAUGCAAUGCAUGCAGGGACCUUUGUUGUGAUUACUGAUUUGGAUAGCAUUAGAGUUUUGGUGAACCGAUUGGAAGAUCAUAUACGAUUGCUGUUUGAGAAUGCUGAAUUCGCAUUCAAAGAUGAAGAGGCUGUGAGGCUUGGUAUCGAGGAGAUAAGGAAGAAGAUGGGAGUGUUUAUGAAAACCAUUGAGGAUUUGGUGCAGCAGGCUGAUCGGUGUAGCAGGGACAUAAGGAGGGCAAAGACUGUGGUUUUGCAAAGAAUUAUCAAACUGCCCAAAUGAUGCGAUGGAAGCAAAUUGGUAACGAUUUUUACUAGUGAUGCAGUGAUGCUCAUGUGCAUGUUUUCUUUUAUAUUCUACACCAGAGAUACUGCUACAACUUGCCCACCGGUUUUGGAAAUCAAAAGUACCAGUGAGACAAGGGCAUAUGUUGUAAUAUAUAAUAUAAAAGGCUGUUUGGCCCAAAUUUUGGUUGGAGUAGGACCAUCUCAAUCCCCUCUAACAUGGGAGCUCUUGAAUGCUUCUCACUUUCUUACAUCCAACAUCAAGAAUUUCCACUUCCAACAAUUUCUUUCAACUUAUUAACAGUAAAGCAGAGAUGGUGACCAACCACAAGCACAGCAAUUUCCUUCAGCCAGUCAAGGCCUGUGAGCAUAACAAAGCAGCAGGCAUGAAAAUGUUAGUCUUCUCCAUCCAUGAUGAUUAACAUCUGAACUUCACUACUUACCACUACCAAACUGAUCUUCUGUGGUUAACAUUUACUGCAUUUCUGCCACUUUGUAUCCUCUUCAAUAUCUUAGUUAUUUAGUUUAUCACAAUAACUCUUUUUUAUCAAGAGAUCUCUAAUUAAACAGUAAUUAAGCAGACAUUUGAUUAUA